This 23-nucleotide non-coding RNA is filed under the name Drosophila ananassae. Lineage: Eukaryota; Metazoa; Arthropoda; Insecta; Diptera; Drosophilidae. RNAcentral also lists the same sequence under 5 other names. The record is from RNAcentral.
AUAAAGCUAGAUUACCAAAGCAU